CCCUUAGAUGUUCUGGGCCGCACGCGCGCUACACUGAUGCAUUCAACGAGUCUAAAACCUGCUCUGAUAGGGGUGGGUAAUCUUUUGAAUGUGCAUCGUGAUUGGGAUAGAUGAUUGCAAUUUUUCACCUUCAACGAGGAAUGCCUAGUAAACGCAAGUCAUCAGCUUGCAUUGAUUACGUCCCUGCCCUUUGUACACACCGCCCGUCGCUCCUACCGAUUGAAUGAUCCGAUGAAUAUCAUGGAUUGAGGAUGCAAGCAGGUUCGCCUGUCUUCAUCUUCGAGAAGUGAAGUAAAUCUUAUCAUUUAGAGGAAGGAGAAGUCGUAACA
Molecule: ribosomal RNA, 329 nt
Filed under: uncultured eukaryote
Lineage: Eukaryota
Description: partial 18S ribosomal RNA
Rfam family: Eukaryotic small subunit ribosomal RNA
Source: RNAcentral